Molecule: long non-coding RNA, 295 nt
Filed under: Panax ginseng (ginseng)
Lineage: Eukaryota; Viridiplantae; Streptophyta; Magnoliopsida; Apiales; Araliaceae
Description: long non-coding RNA (PGIN_LNC007363)
Source: RNAcentral
GGAGGCGCAGAUCCUUAGUCAAAUAGGGAUCCUGAUAGAGAUCUGUGACGAGCCAUCCGGGCGACGGACGAACUGCAUCAAAUAAAGUAGGAUUUGUCGGAUAAAGACAGAAAUUCAAAUACUCAAGCAUGCUCAUGCUUGGGAAGGGGGAAGCACUCCGGCACCUGUUCCUUAAUUCAAAUACUCAAGUCGAUUCGGAAAGGGGCCCCUGUUGAAAGCAAUAAAGGGGGUGCCUUAGCGUGCCCUUUCUCUAAUCCUAGGUAAAGCGAUUCGUGCACUCAUCCGCCCCACAAGG